AAUCAACGCUGGCGGCGUGCCUAACACAUGCAAGUCGAACGCGAAAGGGGCUUCGGCCCUGAGUAGAGUGGCGAACGGGUGAGUAACACGUGGGUGAUCUACCUCUGAGAGGGGGAUAACGUUCCGAAAGGAGCGCUAAUACCGCAUGACGUGCCGGGUUUGAAGACCUGGCCACCAAAGUCGGGGACCGCAAGGCCUGACGCUUGGAGAGGAGCCCGCGCCUGAUUAGCUAGUUGGUGAGGUAACGGCUCACCAAGGCGACGAUCAGUAGCCGGCCUGAGAGGGCGGACGGCCACACUGGGACUGAGACACGGCCCAGACUCCUACGGGAGGCAGCAGUGGGGAAUUGUUCGCAAUGGGCGCAAGCCUGACGACGCAACGCCGCGUGGAGGAUGAAGGUCUUCGGAUUGUAAACUCCUGUUGACCGGGACGAAUGGCUCCCGCACGAACAGUGCGGGGGAUGACGGUACCGGUUGAGGAAGCCACGGCUAACUCUGUGCCAGC
Molecule: ribosomal RNA, 504 nt
Filed under: uncultured bacterium
Lineage: Bacteria
Description: bacterial SSU rRNA
Rfam family: Bacterial small subunit ribosomal RNA
Source: RNAcentral